GGCACGCUGCGUGCUCUCAGCUGCUGCAAGCCCUCCUGCUCCCCAAGGUUUGAUAAUUUCUGCCUCUACAAGCCGUCCUCCUCCCAAGGUCUGAUAAAAUUCACCAUGUUUCUCGCCCUUCAAUCCUCCAUGAUGGCCCAACCUCGCAAGCCUCACAUGUUCUCCCGGAUUCAUUGCUGCCAAAGCCUUCUCGAGGUACUGGUGGUGCGGCAUGCUAGAUCGGCCUCCUCCUCUGUUCUCUUCCUCAUCCUUACUGGAUCCCUUCUCCGAUCAUAUCUCCGACACAAAUAGCCACCAAGAGUAUCCAACGAGGAAACUAGGGAUUAGUGCUCCUAUAUGCUAUGUUUUUCUAAUUUACAUCCUAUAUGGACAACAUCCUGAGAGUCAACGACGGAUCACGGAAAGCAGCCGCAGCGUCUUUGGCCGCGUAGUGUACGUCGGAUUCAGAACCGCGCGAAUUGCAUAUCGGCAGUCAGCAUGUAGGGAAUCAUAAGUUUUAGAGAUUUUGGGAGGAAGGUUACAAAGUAAGAUGAGCAGG
Molecule: long non-coding RNA, 538 nt
Organism: Triticum aestivum (bread wheat)
Lineage: Eukaryota; Viridiplantae; Streptophyta; Magnoliopsida; Poales; Poaceae
Exons: 2
Source: RefSeq, a predicted model, not a curated record